UACGUAGGGUGCGAGCGUUGUCCGGAAUUAUUGGGCGUAAAGGGCUCGUAGGCGGUUUGUCGCGUCGGGAGUGAAAACACCGGGCUUAACCUGGGAACUGCGCUUGUUACUGGCAGACUUGAGUGUGGCAGAGGGGGGUGGAAUUCCACGUGUAGCAGUGAAAUGCGCAGGAUAUCAGGAGGAGCACCGGUGGCGAAGGCGGGUCUCUGGGCCGGAAUGACUGACGCUGGAGGAGCGAAAGCGUGGGGAGCGAACAGG
Molecule: ribosomal RNA, 258 nt
Filed under: uncultured bacterium
Lineage: Bacteria
Description: partial 16S ribosomal RNA
Rfam family: Bacterial small subunit ribosomal RNA
Source: RNAcentral